Molecule: ribosomal RNA, 274 nt
Filed under: uncultured bacterium
Lineage: Bacteria
Description: partial 16S ribosomal RNA
Rfam family: Bacterial small subunit ribosomal RNA
Source: RNAcentral
AUACGGAGGGUGCGAGCGUUAAUCGGAAUUACUGGGCGUAAAGCGUACGUAGGCGGUUGGUUAAGUUAGAUGUGAAAGCCCCGGGCUUAACAUGGGAACUGCAUUUAAAACUGGCGAACUAGAGUUGAGUAGAGGGGAGUGGAAUUUCAGGUGUAGCGGUGAAAUGCGUAGAGAUCUGAAGGAACACCAGUGGCGAAGGCGACUCCCUGGACUCGAACUGACGCUGAGGUACGAAAGCGUGGGUAGCAAACGGGAUUAGAAACCCGAGUAGUCC